This is a long non-coding RNA of Humulus lupulus (European hop), 673 nucleotides long. RefSeq lists it as uncharacterized. The record is from RefSeq and is a predicted model, not a curated record. The transcript has 2 exons. Lineage: Eukaryota; Viridiplantae; Streptophyta; Magnoliopsida; Rosales; Cannabaceae.
UUUCUUUGUGUUGUACUGGAGCUGAUUAUGUUUCUUUAUGUGAACUUUCUAUAGAUGCAUUCUAGUGGAUGAGAAUGACCAGGUUGUUGGUCAUGAUACAAAAUAUAAUUCUAUCCACUCUACUGUGAAUCUGAGCUUAUCGCUGAGGAGGCCCUUGGUAAUAUAUUUCUGCAGAGUAGAUAUUUGGCUAUCCAUUCAAAGCUUAUGUCUUCUAAAUCUGAUUAUUAUCUUUUUAAAUCACCAGGAGCAAGGAAUACCGCACAGAGGAAGCUGUUAGAUGAACUGAGUAUUCCUGCUGAAGAUGUGCCAGUUGAUCAAUUUACCCCACUAGGCAGGAUGUUGUACAAAGCUCCUUCUGAUGGCAAAUGGGGCGAGCACGAACGUAAUAAUUCUUACUUUAUUAAUUUAUAUACUAUACAUCAUAUUCUGUCCCCCCUUUGGUGUGGUAACUAGACUCUAUAAACCAUUUAUAUGCAAAAUAAAUAUAUAGAAUCAAGAUACCGUGUGCGAUUGGCUAUCGCACUGUUCUCUACUGUCCCCCAAAAGAAAAAAAAAACAUGUCAACUUAUGUUAUAGUUUUGGAGUAUCAUUCCAAAACAUACCUGGGAUGUCUGUUUUCUUAUGUAGUACCAAAGUUUCUAUACAAUGAAGAGUGAGUCUUGGUUCUGCUAAA